Molecule: ribosomal RNA, 484 nt
Filed under: uncultured bacterium
Lineage: Bacteria
Description: partial 16S ribosomal RNA
Rfam family: Bacterial small subunit ribosomal RNA
Source: RNAcentral
AUUGAACGCUGGCGGCAGGCCUAACACAUGCAAGUCGAGCGGAUGAAGGGAGCUUGCUCCUGGAUUCAGCGGCGGACGGGUGAGUAAUGCCUAGGAAUCUGCCUGGUAGUGGGGGAUAACGUCCGGAAACGGGCGCUAUUACCGCAUACGUCCUGAGGGAGAAAGUGGGGGAUCUUCGGACCUCACGCUAUCAGAUGAGCCUAGGACGGAUUAGCUAGUUGGUGGGGUAAAGGCCUACCAAGGCGACGAUCCGUAACUGGUCUGAGAGGAUGAUCAGUCACACUGGAACCGAGACACGGUCCAGACUCCUAAGGAGCGCAGCAGUGGGGAAUAUUGGACAAUGGGCGAAAGCCUGAUCCAGCCAUGCCGCGUGUGUGAAGAAGGUCUUCGGAUUCUAAAGCACUUUAAGUUGGGAGGAAGGGCAGUAAGUUAAUACCUUGCUGUUUUGACGUUACCAACAGAAUAAGCACCGGCUAACUUCGUG